This 473-nucleotide ribosomal RNA is filed under the name uncultured bacterium. RNAcentral's name for it is "bacterial SSU rRNA". It matches the Rfam family "Bacterial small subunit ribosomal RNA", at positions 28 to 507 of the family's 1533-position model. The record is from RNAcentral.
GAUGAACGCUGGCGGCGUGCUUAACACAUUCAAGUCGUACGAACUGAUUCUGAAGCUUGCUUCGGAAGAAAGUUAGUGGCGGACGGGUGAGUAACGCGUGAGCAACCUGCCUUUGUGAGGGGGAUAACACAGGGAAACUUGUGCUAAUACCGCAUGAUGCAUAUGAAAGACAUCUUUAGUAUGUUAAAGGAGCAAUCCGCACAAAGAUGGGCUCGCGUCUGAUUAGAUAGUUGGUGGGGUAACGGCCUACCAAGUCGACGAUCAGUAGCCGGACUGAGAGGUUGAACGGCCACAUUGGAACUGAGAAACGGUCCAGACUCCUACGGGAGGCAGCAGUGGGGAAUAUUGGGCAAUGGGCGAAAGCCUGACCCAGCGACGCCGCGUGAGGGAAGAAGGUCUUCGGAUUGUAAACCUUUGUAGACAGGGAAGAAGAAAGUGACGGUACCUGUAAAGUAAGCACGGCUAACUACGUG